CUGUACUCUACAGUGCAUGUGUCUCCAGUGUGAGUAGGCGACUGGAGAUGCGGCUCUGUU
This 60-nucleotide microRNA precursor is filed under the name Colius striatus (speckled mousebird). RNAcentral's name for it is "mir-139 microRNA precursor family". It matches the Rfam family "mir-139 microRNA precursor family", at positions 1 to 60 of the family's 68-position model. Lineage: Eukaryota; Metazoa; Chordata; Aves; Coliiformes; Coliidae. The record is from Rfam by way of RNAcentral.